GAUGAACGCUGGCGGCGUGCCUAACACAUGCAAGUCGAACGGAGAUUACGGACGGAAGUUUUCGGAUGGAAGACCGUACUUCUUAGUGGCGGACGGGUGAGCAACGCGUGGGCAACCUGCCCUAUACAGGGGGAUAGCAGCUGGAAACGGCUGGUAAGACCGCAUAUGUCGGUUAAAUCGCAUGAUUUGAUCGGGAAAUGAGCAGUGAGGUAUAGGAUGGGCUCGGGUCCGAUUAGCCAGUUGGCAGGGUAAAAGCGUACCCAGGCGGCGAGCGGUAGCCGGACUGGGAGGUCGGACGGCCACAUUGGGACUGCGACACGGCCCAAACUCGUACGGGAGGCAGCGGAGGGGGAUAUUACACGAUGGAGCAAACUGUGAUGCAGCGGCGCCGCGGGAGUGAGGAAGUAUUUCGGUAUGUAAAGCCCUAUCAGCAGGGGAGAUGAUGACGGUACCGGACGAAGAAGCCCCGGCUAACUACGUG
This 481-nucleotide ribosomal RNA is filed under the name uncultured bacterium. RNAcentral describes it as "partial 16S ribosomal RNA". It matches the Rfam family "Bacterial small subunit ribosomal RNA", at positions 28 to 507 of the family's 1533-position model. The record is from RNAcentral.